Long non-coding RNA from Vigna angularis (adzuki bean), 1341 nucleotides. RefSeq lists it as uncharacterized. NCBI's taxonomy places the organism in Eukaryota, Viridiplantae, Streptophyta, Magnoliopsida, Fabales, Fabaceae. The record is from RefSeq and is a predicted model, not a curated record. The transcript is spliced from 6 exons.
CGUUUUCGUGUGGAGCUUCUUUUCUCUCUUCGUCGAGCUUCUUUUUACUCUAACAAAUUUUCCCCUUUACUCUAAAAUUUAAAUUUACGCCUAAGUUUCACUUCGGUUUUUCGUCCAGUUUCACUUCUGAUUUUUCGCCCAAGUUUCACUUCUGAUUUUUGUUUUAUUUUGUUCGGUUUAGCUUUUCUGCGUUUUGGAAUAAAACGAGAUUGGCCAAAAAUCCUUUAUCUGUUCGGGAAGACCGUCUCUUACUCUCUUCUUCCUUCUUGCUAUUCUUUUCUUUCGUUCAAGAAAACCGCAAACCCUAAAUCAAGGAAAAGGGAAUUUUUGGGUGCGGCGAGGUAGUGAGUGAAAUUAAUGCUAAAAGGAAAAACGAAAAAGCGAUUGAAUGAGAUUAAAGGAGGAUUCUAGGGUUCGAGAAUUCCUAUUUGGGGAGUGAGGAGUGGAUGGCGAUAAUAGGGAGGAGAGUUUUGGUUUUAAAAGUGGUGGCACGGGGUUACGGAGAGGGAACCAGUGAGUAUCGUGAUGUCAACCAUUAGGGUUCUAUUUGAGGAUCAGAAGGGGUUUUAUUUAAGGACUGUGAGGAGUGAGUUGCGAGCACAGAAAGAGAUUGCUUUACGAAGUCAGAGGGAGAACUAGGUAAUGGAGAACGAGGAGUGCAUAGUGACCUGAAAGUUAACGAUGAAUUGGAAUUAACCAGAAAGUUAUAUAUUGUUGAUGCACGACCAAGAAAAACUGCAUUGGCUAAUAGAGCCAUGGGAGGUGGUUCAGAAUCAUCAUCAAACUAUUUUCAAUCCGAGGUAGUCUUGUUGGGGAUAGACAACAUCCAUGCGAUGAGAGACAGAUUUGUUCAGCUUUGAGAAUACAUGGACACUCAUGGCAAAGCAUCAUCAGAUGGAAUGUCCUCUUUCUUGUUUAUGCAGAUCAUCGUGAGAAUGGGCAGUUUAUAUCAAUAAUUUCAGACGGUCUAAAGGUUCUAGAUCUUUGCUGCUAUAGUGGUGGUUUUUCUCUAAAUGUCGUGCGUGGAAGUGCUUUAAAUGUCACUGUGUCCAAGACAACCCAACGACAAUGAUUGUGGGUAUUACGUGUGUCAAUAUAUGAAGGAAAUUAUCAUAUACUAUGAAGGAGGAACAAUUACAACUGAUUACUUUUUUAGUUGCAGAUGUCAACAAUAUCGUGAAAGUCAAAUCAUUGAAGUUAGGAAAAAUUGGUAUUUAGAUGUAAUUAGUACAUGCUUAUAGAUUAUGUUAGGGUGAUGUACAUGUUUAUAAGUACUGAUAUAAGUACUGAUAUGAUAUAUAUUUUAUGAUUGUAUGUAUUAGGUUUAAUACCUAUUUUGAU